GGUUUUUAGAAUUUAUUAAAAAUCAAACCUGCUCAAUGCUUAGUAAAUAGCCGCGGUAUCUUGACCGUGCAAAGGUAGCAUAAUCAUUAGUCUUAUAAUUGAAGACUGGAAUGAAUGGUUUAACUUUAUAAUCUUGUCUUAUAAUAAUAUUUUGAAUUUUAUAUUUUAGUAAAAAAGCUAAAUUUCUAUUUAGGGACGAAAAGACCCUAUUGAGCUUUACAAAAAUUUUUAUUUUUCAUAAAGUGAAUUAAUUUUGUUCUACUGGGGCAGUAAGAAAAUAAAAUUUUUCCUUAUUAUUAUAAAUUUUAAUUUUUGUAAAAUCUAAAAAUUUUUAAAUAAAAACAAGUUACCAUAGGGAUAACAGCGUAAUUUUUCUUUAGAGAACAUAUCAAUAGAAAAACUUGCGACCUCGAUGUUGGAUUAAAAAUCCUAUUCCACGCAAUAGUAGAAUACAGGAAGUCUGUUCGACUUUUAAAUUUUUCCA
This 484-nucleotide ribosomal RNA is filed under the name Diplocentrus sagittipalpus. Its description in RNAcentral is "partial 16S ribosomal RNA". It matches the Rfam family "Bacterial large subunit ribosomal RNA", at positions 1832 to 2600 of the family's 2925-position model. The record is from RNAcentral. Lineage: Eukaryota; Metazoa; Arthropoda; Arachnida; Scorpiones; Diplocentridae.